UGGGGGGAGCAGGAACUGUCCAUGGAGGAAGGUGACAGGGACCUGACUAUGGGGAGAGGGAGAAGAAAAACGUGAAUUCACAGGAUAGUAAGAUUACUCUGGAGGCUCCUGCCUGGAAGAUGGCGACACGGAGACAACACAUGGUCUGAGUUCUCCAAGGAGGCUGCUUCAAAACAAGUUUGGCCACCAGGUUCCAGAUGCUACCAUGAUGCCAAUCAGACUUCCCUGGACAGAUGACCCCACCAGUGUGUCCUGGAGCUCCUCUUCCUCAGAACCCUGCCCCACUAGGGAAAGAGAGAGAGAGAGGCUGGGAGUAGGGAUUGACCUGUCAAUGCCCAUGUUCAGCGGGGAAGCAAUUACAGAAGCCAGACCUUCCACCUUCUGCACGCCAUGGUGACCCUGGGUUCAUAAUCCCAUGGGGUUAAAGAAUAGGAAAGCUAUCGGGAGGGGAUGGGAUAUGGAGCUCUGGCGGUGGGUAUUGUACCCUUCUCAUCCUAUGGUCUUGUCAGUGUUUCCAUUUUAUAAAUAAAUAAUUUUUUAAAAAAAAA
Erinaceus europaeus (western European hedgehog) is the source of this 548-nucleotide long non-coding RNA. RefSeq lists it as uncharacterized. Lineage: Eukaryota; Metazoa; Chordata; Mammalia; Eulipotyphla; Erinaceidae. The record is from RefSeq and is a predicted model, not a curated record. The transcript has 2 exons.